This 35320-nucleotide long non-coding RNA is filed under the name Gossypium raimondii (Peruvian cotton). Its description in RNAcentral is "long non-coding RNA (GRAI_LNC006789)". The record is from RNAcentral. Lineage: Eukaryota; Viridiplantae; Streptophyta; Magnoliopsida; Malvales; Malvaceae.
UGAUGUGAUUCGUCUAAUUAACGAACGAGCUGAAGUGAGGAGAAACAAAGACUUCUUGAAAAGUGAUCAGAUGAGAGCUCAUUUGCAAGCUAAGGGCAUUGCACUCAUGGAUGUAGGCACGGAAACAAUUUGGAGACCUUGUGUUCCUGUUCAACAAGAAUCGGGAAUAGUGCCAUCAGAGGGCCAGAAGGUCCCUCCCAAGCCUGAAACUGCAGAAGAAUGCAGAUCUUGAUUCAAGUUCACCAAAAAAAACAUAUUGAAUUUGCUUCGUAAGGUGGUUUUUAUUGUCAAAACAAGUUGGUGGGAUCAAGGCCAUUUCUAGACAGUUUUGAUUCAUAAUUUAUAAAAUGUCUUUCCGUUUCUGACCUAAUUGUUACGGGAGAAAUUGUUUACUAAUGAAGGUGGUUAACAGCGAAUUAGGUUAGCAAAGAGAGUUAGCAGCAAGUUGAAACGGUGCUCUAGGAUCAGUUUUGACAGCUGUAUACUAACAGCUGUAACAGCUAAUUAGCUGAUAGUUUUCUUUUCAAUAUUUGGUGAAUUGAAUCUGUUUCGUCUCAUUUCUCCCUUCUCUCUUCUCCUCUUGCUAUUCUGUUUCACCGCUUCUCUAUUUUCUUCACAAUUAUCUUCUUCUGUUUCUUUUCUCCUCCUUUUCUUCUCUCGAAUUUCUCUCGUUCUUUCCUUCUAUGUCAGUUUCUGCUUCUCUAGUUUGUUCCGUAACACUAGUAAACUUGUAUAAUGAACCAAGUUCUCUCACGAUUUGAUUGAUUGCCUUGUUUCUGUUUGGCCUUUAGCUGCACAGACAGUGAGCCAGAUUUUUUUUUUCUUUUCUGAAAACAGUACUUUAAUAGUGUUGUAUACCGGUGCGUAACAGUUUUUAAAAGUUUGGUACAGAUGGAAUUACCCCAGGAUUAUCACAAAGGUCAACUCAGACGAACUCUUGCAGAAAUGUAGUGGCUAUUUUACUACGCUUAAGCAAUUUAUCUUUCAGAAUUCUUCUCUCUUUUCUUGCUCAAACUGUAGUCGAUUCGGUUAAUAGUAGAAUCAAACUAUUAUUAAUUGAAAUGUUAAAAUUUGUUUUUUUUUUUUUUUCAGAUCGAAUACGAAAGUCAUUAAAUUAUUUAAAAAUUUUCAUUUAAGUCAAUGAACUAUUCGAUAUUUUUUAUUUAAGUUAUUGGAUUAUCAAGUUUUCUUUUUUUAAAGUGUACCUAGUGAGCUUCAAGCGAUGAUUCAACAAUCGAUGCAAUUAAUCAAUACUCAUUAACAAAUAGAGAAACAUACAUUAGAUCCAAGUUAAUCUGACGAUUAAUGUUAAAGAUUGGAGAAUAAAGUUAUUUGAAUUUUGAUUUGCAUAUUCAUGACACCUAAAAUUAUUUUAUAUAAAAAUAUUAAAUUGGAGAAGAGUAAAGGAAAUAAAACUUUCAAUUAAUACAAGCGGCACAAAAAAAAACCCAUUUAGUAACAAAUUUAAUAAUACAAUUAUUUAAAUAAAAAUUUUUGAAUAAUUUUACCCAAUAAAGACUAAGCAUUAUAAACAAAUAAAUAUUUAACAAUAAAAUGCGUCACGCUCUUAUUUAUCAUUUUACACAUCAGUUUUCAACUAUCAAUUAAGUUUUACCAAACACUUUUAAAUAAACAGUUAAUAGAACCAGUUGGUCAAUCAAUUAAUAGAAUCAAUUGAUCAAACUAGUUAUUGUAAUCAAUUAUCAACUAUAAACUAAUUGCCAAACAGGCCAUAGUAGAUUCAAGCAAAAUGAAAGCGGGUAAUAUUAUUGGCAUGUUUAUUGGUAAGAUAAAGUAUUCAGAAACAAUGCAUGCUUUUUUAUAUAAAAAUAACUCUAAAAGUUUCAUUAUUUAUGAAAAUGACCCAUCUUCAAAAUAAAAUACGAGAAUGAUUUGUUUUGAGCUAUAAAUGAGAUAGUGCCAAUGAAAUCAGCAUCAACCCAUACAUCAUGCCAAUAAUUGGCAUUUUGAAUUAAAAAAUAUAUAUUUUCGGGUGGUGCCAACGAAAUUGGCAUCACCCGUAUUGAUACUCAUAUCCAUUCUUCUAAAAUACUCGUGUUUUUCCAAAUAAUUUUUUUUAAAAAUUUAUUAUUUUAUUAGGUUUGCCCCCUCCUCCAGCUUUUUUUUAAACCCAAAAUAUUUGAUUUUUUUAGUGCCAAUCAAUAUUUUUCCCCCCUAGUGUCAGAUUUUUUAUUUUAAACCCACAAGGAUUGAUUUUUUCUGGUGGUAUCAAUAUGAUUGGCGCCACCAGUAUAUUUUUGGCCCAUAAUGUCAGUUUUCUUUUUUUUUUUUUAUAAAUCUCACCCUAAUUUUUAUUUUUUUCACCCACUCACCCCAAUUCUUUCUUUCUCAAAUUUUUUUUAUUAUACUAUCUAUUCUAUUUAGAAUCUCGAUUUUCUUAUGUGUAAUUAAACAUUUAAUUAACAUCAUUAAAAUAAUUAUUUUGGGUUUAAAUAUUUUUCAAUAAAAAGAUUAACUUCAAAUAAAAAAAUUUGAAGUAUUCUUUUUAAAAAUAAAUUAUUUUGAGAAAGAAUUUUUUUUUUAAACAUAAAGAUUUAUUUCGGGUUUAAAACUUUUUGAAUUACUUUUUAAAAAAAAUAAAUUAUUUUGAGAAAGAAAUAAUUAAGGUGAGUGGGUGAAAAAAUAAAGAUUAGGGAGAGAUUUUAAAAAAAAAGCUUUUACUGCCAAAAAAAAAAUCAAAUAUUUUGGGUUUAAAAAAAAGUUGGAGGAGGGGACAAAAAACUAUUGGAUUGGCGUGAUCUAAUAAAAUAAUAAUUUUUAAAUUUUUUUUCUUUAAAAAUACAAAUAAUUUAAACGAGUAAAUACAUGUAUCAAUACGGGCGACUAAUUUUAUUGACACCACCUAAAAAUAUAUAUUUUAAUUCAAAAUGGUAAUCAUCGGCACCACCACCCAUUUACUAAUCUCAAAAUGCUAAUCAUGUAAAUACAUGAUGCGAUGGAUUGAUGCUCCACCACCCAUUUAGUGCUUGAAACAAAUUAUUUUCGUAUUUUAUUUUGAAGGUGAGAUAUUUUUUAUAAAUAAUGUAUUUUAUUUUGAAGGUGAGACAUUUUAUAAAUAAUGAAACUUUUAAAGUUAUUUUUAUAAAAAAAAAGCCGACAAUACAAGCUUCAAAUUUUGAUAAUCAUUUCUUUUUUUCACCCUUCUUUUCGUCUUCUUUUCAUCUUUCUUCUCUUCUUUAGCAGGUCCCACCGUAACAAUGUCUACUUUCCCUAUUUUCUUGAGUUUUUUGGCAAUGGCAACCGUGUCCAUCUCCCCUAUGACUGUCAACUUUUGCUCCUUCACAUCUGCCGCGAUUGAGUCAACCCCUGUUCAUCACCCAAACACGUGAUGUUUCAUCAAAUCAAUUUAGACCCAAAAAAAGGGGGUGUUUUCUUGAUUAUUAUUACCAUAUAUGUCGGCAACAGCCUCUAUAGCUUUCUUUUUUGUCUUUUCGUCGUUCAUGGUCAUGAUUUUCAAUACCACCUUCUGCAAAUUCAAUGACUAAAAGCAUUUAACCAAAAAAAGAAAUACAUUUCUGAUGAGAAAACUAAUUCUAAAGGGAAACCAAAGUACUGAACCAGGAAUUCAAGGAUAUGCAAGACAAAACUAAGUUACGGUUUUAAUGAAACUAAGCCUGUUUCAUAUUUAUAUGUAGGACUGCUGUAACAAUGGCUUACAUCAGCCAUGAUGAACAAUGACUGGACUUUUUCGUCCUUUUCUUACAAAUGUUGAUCCUAUUCAUCCAGUGAUGUAUGAAUUUAAAACAUCCCACUUAAUUUCUCUAUAGUAUUUGUUGCUGUUCAAGCCAUAGCUGCCAUCAUACUAAUAAUUAGAACUGUUCUAUAUUAUUUUUAUUUUGGCUUAGGUUCUGUGUUGCCAGCAGUAGUCCAAACCGACAUCCAUUGAAGCCGUUAUUGGAAGCUUAGUAAGCUUAGCCUCUAAAAACACACAACGCUUUAACAAAAUGAAUCAUAGAAACAAGAUUGCACCGAACAUGACAACAAAGAUGUUGCUGUCAUUUGCUGACUCUUUGUAGCCACGGGUCGAAUGAGUCGAAGUAUUCACACUGAAUCAGGAAGAUGAAGUAAUGAGAUUGUUAUUAGAUUGGAUUAAUGUGAUUUGGAAAUGAAUUAAUUUUAAUCUAGAAAACAAUGUAGGUGCUUGACUUCAUCAGACUUGCAUUAAAUAUGGUAUUGACCCACCUGAAAUUUCAAAUUUCUCUCUCUUAUUAUUUUAAAAAAAUCUGGGCUACCUUAUGUCUUCAAGUUGUUGUCACCUUACUAAUAUUUUUAGCCAACUUGGGCUCUUCUCCGUCCCUCAGCCCUCAGGACCCCCAAACUUAUGGUAACCAAACGUACUCUUUUGUAAAUAGGGGCCCAGUAAAUUUUUGCUCCUGCGAAUUUAAAUUAUAAAUUUUCUGCAGAGUUCAACCAUAUAACAAUUUUACUAUUUUGGGGCAACUUUAUUUGCAAAGAUUAAUAAUUAGGCCCUUUAGAUUCGUGAUACAAUAUGUUUGGUUGGACUGAAUAAUUUAUUCAAUUUUCGAAGGUGAUUUUUUAGUUCGAUUAAAAGAAUAAUCUAUUCGGUUAAGUCUAAGUGACAAUAAUUUUGAGCAUUCCCUAAAAUGGUUGUUUCCUACUCAAAAGGAAUAGAUAAUAAAUAAAAAAACUAUUUCUUCAAGAUACUUUAGAAUGACCCUUGCUCACCUUGUUGCCACGAAGAGUUCCAUUCAUCGUCAUCGAAAUAGUGAACAAUGGUAAAGAUGACAAAAGGUGGCAACACAAAGAAUACCACCCAAAAGCCAAUAGCAACCAAAAGAUACAAUAAAAGGACAGCUUUUUUGGGAUUUUUGGUAGCAAACUUUAGACUUAGAUUUAGGUUUUUAGAGUUUGAUUUAGCAAAAGAUGAGUGGAUAAUUGGAAAAUUGAGAAAAAAAAAAUCAAUUUGUGGUGAAAUUUUGAGGCAGCUACUGGCAGAGGAUGGUGAGGUUAGUUUAGAUAUCAAGAAAUAAUGGCGGUUCUGAAAAAUCACACAAUCAACUGAAGUUGUUACAAGAGAUUAUUUUAGUGUUAGUGUUAUUUAAGAUUAUUUUUCAAUUGAGAAAUAAAUGCAUAAUAUUAUUUUAAAAAUAAUAAUUCAAUAUAUAUUAAUAAAAUAAAAAUAAAAAUAUUUAUCCAAGUAGUAUAGGUGUCAAUUACCAAAAUAACAUCAAAUGUAUUGUACUUUUCUGAUUUUGCCACUGCUGAUAAUCAUUUCAAUUGAUUUUUAAAAAAUAAAAAGUAAAAAAGUAAACAAGUUGCAUAUAUUUUAUGCGACUAGCCACAAUAUUGUAAUAUAGAUUCACAAUAAUACUAAUUUUUGAGUAACUUUUAUUAAGUAAUUUUUUUAACAAAGUUUUAUGGUGGGGUCAAUUGGCUCUGCCACUAGGUACUAGACCUGUCCAUGGGCCGGGCGGCCCGAUAGCCCGCUCGAAAUAUGGGAGGGUUUGGGUAAAAAUAUAGGCCCGAAAUAUGGGUUUGGGCAAAAAACGAGGCCCGUUUAAAAAAUGGGCCGGGCUCGGGCUCAACUUUUUUGGCCCGGCCCGGCCCGGCCCCAAUAUAAUAAAUAUAUAUUUUUUAUUUUUAUUUUUUAAUUUUAAAAUACUUUUAAAAUAUUUUUUUAUUUUUUUAUUUUUAAAAUAUUUUUUUUGUGUUUAUUAAAAAUCGGGCCGGGCCGGGCUCGGGCUUACUCUUUUUUUCCCGGGCCGAGCCUGGGCAAAAUUUCAGGCCCAUAUUUCGGGCUGGGCCGGGCCUAAGAGUCGGGCCAAAAAUUUUUCUGGGCCCGGCCCGGCCCAUGGACAGCUCUACUAGGUACACAUAGUGUUCGAGGCAUAGACACUAGGUAGACGGAAUAGGAAGUUCAGUUAGAACUGAAAUUAUUUGGGUUAAAUUAUAGUUCUCCUCCAUCUAUUGUAUAUAAAUAAUUAGUAUGAUUAAUUAUUUUAAUUAUAAAAUUUAUGUCAAAUUUUUAUUAAAAUAUUUUUAAUUAGCAAUUAAGAUUUAUAAAAUCGGAUUGGUGGUUGCAUUGGUUAGAUCAUCGAUUCUUAGUUUAAUCGAUUUAGUCAAUUCAAUUGAAUAAUUUAUUUAAAAAAUAAAAAAAUAUUGGACCGAUUGCCUGGUUCAAUUGGUUUGUUGAUCAACCGAUACGAUCCAUUGUUCCAGACCGAUACCCAAAUCGAUUAUCAAUCUAAUCGGUCAGUUCAAUUAUGAAAACAGUGCUAAUGACAUUAUAAAAUAUCUACAUUUCAAAAACAACAUAGUUGGAAAUAAUACUUUUAAGAAAAAAAAAUUCAUCACAAGGUUUAACUUGAAUAAUUAAGGGAAUUAUAAAAAUAAAGCACUAAAUUAUACCAAAUUAAAAUACAAAUGUUAGGUUAAAUUUUACUAUUAGUCCCUAUAUUUUACAAAAGUUACGAAUUUAAUCUAUAUACUUUAAAUUUAUCGUUUUUACCUAUUGUACUUUUCAAUUUUAAAAUUUCAACCAUCACCAAACAAUAACUAUUAAAUUUAUUAAGUUUUACUAUUUCUAGAAUAUCUCAUACGGUAAACAUAUUAUCAUAUGUGCUCACACAUUACUUAGCACUCACUAAAAAUCUAGUUAAUGGAUUAACAACUAUUAUUUACAUCAAAAUUGAAAUUUUAAAAUUUGAAAAGUAUAAUGACUUGAAAUGAUCUGAUUGGAGAUUAUAGACUAAAAAACCUAUUAUUGUUCACAUACUACAAGGUUAGUACUUGAAUUUAACCAAUCAUAUUUAGCUGUUACUAUUUGGAUAAAUAUUAGAAAGUACAACGAUUAAAAUUGAUCAAUUCGAAAAUACAAAUUGACAUUAACCAAAUUAAAAUAUAAAGGUUAAAUCCACAAUUUUCGUAAAGUAAGGGACUAAUAGCAUAAUUUAACCCAAAGGCUAUACUCCAUAUUUGAGCAUAUUAAAAUACAAGGACUAUAUUCCAUAUUUGAGCAUGGUAAAAAGACCAAAACCAAAAUUUACCAAUUAUUUAAAUUAAAAGUAAUGGAGAAGCAUUUGCCAUUAUGUGCAUAGGAAAAUUCCAAUGGUCCCCAACUCACCUCCAAUUACUUUCAGCCGUCGGGCAAUUGUCAAUGCGGAAUACCAUUAUGGCAAUUUUAACGUUUAAGCAAAACCCCCACUAGAAGAUACCAUGGGUUUUUUAUGGAGGGAUCUAGGAAAUUCAUUCUUAUCUCACGCUCUCAAUUAUCUCCUGCACAUUUCUUUUGUCCAUUACCUUAACUCACAUUGAUCUUUACCACAGUUCACUUGGAACUUGUUCAUUACCCUUCCUCUUUGCCUUCAUCAACAAGAGAUUACUCUACUAAUAAUCACACACAAAUUGGUGAAAGAAGCAGCAUUUUCUUUGGUUUUUUUUUUUUUAAUGUUCAGUAAGGAAUCCAUGCUGCAGAGAUCUGGUCUGGCUAGACAUUUCUUUGAGAAACCUUCAUGGCGGCCUCCUCCAUUGAAAAGAAAAACUCCAACUACCACUGCUUUUCUUGUCUUAACCGUUUUUCUCAUGGCUGCUUUUGUUACAUAUUCCUCAUGGAUUGACACUGUAAGUUCAUGUUAGGUUCUGCAAAUGUUUUUACUUCAUGUUUAGUUGAGUUUUUUUUUUUUUUCUGUUUUUUUGCAGUCUGGGGUUUUUCUCGAGCAUUCAACGGACAAGACUGUGGUAAUAUCAGAGAAACCAAAAGUUGCAGUACGGAGGAUUGAAAUCCCACUGAAAUGCACCAAAAAUAAAAACCAGACACAAACAUGUCCAAAGAAUUAUUACCCCAAGACAUUCCGAGCAGAAGACAUUGACCCUUCAUCAAACCCUGUUUGCCCUGAUUAUUUCAGAUGGAUCCACGAAGAUUUACGGCCCUGGAAAACAUCGGGGAUCACCCGGGACAUGGUGGAAAGAGCUAACAGAACAGCCACAUUUCACCUCGUAGUCAAAGGAGGAAAAGCCUACGUUAAAAACUUCAGAAAAGCCAUUCAAACAAGAGAUGUUUUCACCAUCUGGGGCAUCUUACAACUCCUCAGGAAGUACCCCGGAAAGCUACCGGACCUUGAAAUCAUGUUCGACACUGAAGAUAGGCCGGUGAUUAAAUCAAGGGACUACAAAGGACCGAAUGCAACAGCCCCACCACCAUUGUUUCGCUACUGUGGAGAUAAAGAAACUUUGGAUAUAGUCUUCCCUGAUUGGUCCUUCUGGGGAUGGUAACGCUUCCCUUUUUUUACAAUUUACAGCCUCAUCUCCUGUCGUUUUUUUCCGUCCUGUUUUUCCUCUUUGUUGCCAUUUGCAUGGUAUAAUACAGAAAAUCACACUCGUCAGUUCUACUUGUAAUUCGAAUGCCAAAUGGUAUUAAAGGUAGUUUCGGUUGCAUGCUUAUAAAGGGGUCCCCUUUUUCAUUGACAAGUGGUCUGCCAUUUUUAGGCAUCUGACAACACCUGUAAAGUUUUGAAAUGCCUUGGAAUUUAACUAUUCGCUGAGCCUGCUUUCGCCUUGUCCCAAUUUCAUUAGUUAUUUUUUAUUCAUUUGUACAUACAGAACAGAAAAGAAUAUGUCAGUUACACACUCAAUAAAUUUCCAUGUCAGUUUAAAAUUAAACCAAAAUAAACCUUAUUUUUUCUGCAUGUGUGUUUUUAAGACAAUUUUGUAUUAAUUAACUAAAGGGUAUUUUUUUUGUACUUCAGGGCUGAGAUAAAUAUAAAGCCAUGGGACAGCAUAUUGAAAGAUAUUAAAGAGGGAAAGAAGAGGGAAUGGAUAGAUAGGGAACCAUAUGCCUACUGGAAAGGGAAUCCAUUUGUGGACGAGAAAAGGCAGGACCUUCUUAAAUGCAAUGUCACUGGUCAACAGGACUGGAAUGCUCGCCUGUUUAUCCAGGUGGAAAUCAAAAUGCUAUCAUUGUUAACAUUUCUCAGCAUAAAGCCUUGAUCUUUUGUUCAAACAAAUUUUAAAUUAACAGGCCUGGUUUGCAGGACUGGAUCCUUGAAAGCCAGCAAGGUUUUAAACAAUCCAACGUUGCAGAUCAAUGCACAUAUAGGUUUAAUUCUGGACCCAGAACAACAUUCUUGUAAACUCUUUAGCUAUCAAUUUGUAAAUCUUUUUCUUUGGUGUUUAUGUAGGUACAAGAUCUACAUUGAAGGGUAUGCAUGGUCUGUUAGUGAAAAAUACAUUCUGGCCUGUGAUUCUGUUACAUUGAUUGUACAGCCUGAGUUCUAUGAUUUCUUCAUGAGAAGCAUGCAGCCUGUGGAGCAUUACUGGCCUAUAAGGAAUGAUGACAAAUGCAGAUCCCUUAAGUUUGCUGUGGACUGGGGCAACAAUCACAAAAAGAAGGUACCAAUUGUACUUAAUAUUUGAAUUAUGUGAUGUUGUAUUUUGGCAUUGCCUUUGUUAAACCUGAUAGAAUAUUAAUGGAUUUGGCAGGCACAUGAAAUAGGAAAAGCAGCCAGUAGCUUUAUGCAGGAGCAGCUAAAAAUGGACUACAUUUAUGAUUACAUGUAUCAUUUGUUAAAUGAGUAUGCCAAGUUGUUGAAAUUUAAGCCAAGAAUACCUGAAGGAGCCAUGGAGUUGUGCUCAGAGGUAAUGGCUUGUCAAGCAGAAGGGCUCGAAGGGCGAAAAAAGAAGUUCAUGAUGGAAUCAUUGGUGAAAGGUCCUUCAAUCACAAAUCCGUGUACCUUGCCACCUCCUUAUGACAGUCGAGCUCUUGCAGUAUUUCUCAGAAGAAAAAAUAACUCAAUAUUGCAAGUGAAGAAAUGGGAGAAAGGUUAUUGGGAAAGUCUCAACAAGCAGUAGUUGAUGCCUGGUUUUUUCUCGUUUUCUUUUUGUCAUGAUGAAUCUAGACAACUAUACUUUUGGUUUAUGUCCAAAUUUAAGAAAUACAUGGCUGAACCCUUUACAGCAACAUGGAAGAAUACCCCCGAUCAAUCAAGUGAAUUUGUCGAGUCAACUAUGCUUCGAUUGAAACCAAGAUUAAGACCAAGAUCCAUCAAUUUAUAAAGGGGACUAUAGAUAAAUAAAGUGGUGAUUUCAGACAGGUCUGGCUUCUAUUGAAUCGGCCGGAUCAUUCAGACAGAUUAAGGUGGAUCAGUUGUAGAAUCCUUAAAUAAUGGUACCUUCAGCUAUGCUAUCAAAUGGGGAUGGAGGAGUAAGAGAAACAGGAAGAGGCCUAAAAUAGAUGGAAGAAGCUUGCACGGUUGCACCAUUGGGUUCUUGCAGCCUGUAGGGGUAUUUUUGGGUAUGUGGAACUCUGUUGAUUCUACCUCCCAAUAAAUGGCCUGUUUCUGGUGUUUUGGAUCACUUUAUUGUUAAUUUUCCCUUGAUUCUUUACUGUCUCCACAAAUAUUCUCAUACAAAUUUCAGUUUUGACCACAAUUCUCAGUUUUCUCUGUUAAUGCUAAUCUCACAUUUGAUUGUCCAUGUAAAGAUUGGGAGUACUAGGAUUAAUAAUAGUUGCAACCAAAGUAAUUGGAUUUCACAUCAGCAUUUAGAGAUCAAAGCGAAGUUUAAAAGGAAAAAAGGUUUAAAUAGGAGUAGCAAUCACAAUGGUAAAUUUCAUUUGCUAAAUGAAUUCCACAGCACUUCAAGAUCUACAUUACCUCCUGAAAGUAUAAUUCCUAUUUGGUUGCAGUCCUUCCAGGCAGGGUUGGUCCUGAAGCUAUCAGAUAAGACAGCUGCUAGGCCUAUGGCUCCACUUGGUUCAACUGCAACUUUAAGGAUCUCAUAGCAGAGUCUCAUUGCUUUGAUUAUUUCAGUAUCGUCUACUGUUAUUACGUCGUCGACGAGAUCACGAACUAUGGGCCUAAUCAAUCAUAAGGCAUAGAAUGAGACUUACUGAAAUUUGUGGACUAAUAAGUAAAUAUGUGUAGUUCCUGAAAGCUAAGACACAGUGCUGUGUGCAGAUAGCUAGUGCACUAACUGAUAAAAGAAAACAUCUACAAACAGGGAAUAUAUCCUUCACACAUCAAUAAGACACCAUGAAAAUGAAUUUACCAGGUGAAUUCACCAAGGAAAGCUCUCAGGCCAUCAGCAACCGUAUUUGUUUCAGGUAAGGUUACAAUUCUACCGGCUGCUUUUGAUUGAGCUGCAUCAUUUGCUCCCUUUGGUUCAGCGGCCAAAACUCGAAUGGCAGGAUUGAUAGACUUGGCAGCCAAUGCCACCCCUGAUAUCAAGCCACCUCCUGCAUAUUUUCAAAAACCAUUUGUAGUUGAGAAGAAAAAACUCGCAAAAAAACAAAAAAAGGUGAUCGACCGUGCAGGAAUAAUAACAGAAAAAAGGCUGCAACACAAACCACUGAUGGGAACUAUUAUAGUGUCUAUAUGAGGGGCUUGCUCUAAAAGCUCCAAGGAUAUGGUACCCUGCCCACUGAAACAGAUUUCCGUAUCAAUUAAUUCACCGAUAUAACAUUAAAUUACAGUAUCUCGGCUUAGAAAUGUUCAAUGUAUUACCUUAUAAUGCGCCCAUCAUUAUAUGGAUGUAUAAGAGCAGCCCCAGUUUCUUGCUGCACCGUGGUUGCAGUUUCCUCCCUCGACUUGAUUGUUGUCUCACUCCAUAUAACCUGACCACCAUAACGCACAACAUUCUGAACUUUGCACUGCGGAGCAUUCUUCGGUAUAACUAUAUAUGAAGUGAUCCCACGUAACUUUGCAGCCAAUGCCAAUGCUGCAGCAUGGUUACCACUAAUUUUGAAGGAUGUGAUCAGAUAUAACCCAAUUAAACAGCAAGGGAAAGGAAACAUAAUGAAGGGUAUAGAUCAUGGAUGUGUUUCAAGUAAACCUGCUAUGAGUUACAACUCCCUUAGCAGCCUGCUGAUCAUCAAGUGAAAAUAUAGCAUUGCAAGCACCUCUGAAUUUGAAUGCUCCCCUGUUAAGCAACACAUAGAACAGUCUCAAUUUGGAGAAUAAGAUGAAAACAAGUAAAUAAUGAUUCCUUUUACCCCUUUUGGAAACAUUCACACUUGAAGAACAGCCUCCUUCCAGAAAUAGCAUCCAGGGACUCCGAGGUCAUAAGUGGAGUUUUGUUUAUGAAAGAACUGAUGCGCGCCCGUGCUUCUUUGAUAGAGGAGAGAUCAGCAGCAUACUUCUCCUUGUUUACUUCCAUCUUUAAGCCACUGAAUCCAACACUUCAAUUCCAAAUUUGGGAGAAACAGGAACAAACCAAACAAUUUCAGAAGCUACAAUCUGGCUAAAGCAACAUCCAAUUAACAAAUGUAACUGUAAAUACAGAAGUCCCAUUGUCAACUAACCAAACUAAAAAGGAUGCAAAUUUAUUGAUGCAAACACUUGGAUUUUAGCAACUGUAUAAUGGGUCUACUGUAAAAUGAAAGGAAAGGAGGAGGAUGAAUCCAUAAACAUUAAGAAUGGAGGAUAAAGAUUAAAACUUUAACUACUUACAGAAUAUGACUUCGAGAAAGAUACAAACUUGAGUGCUGUUUUCUUAUUUGUUCGGAUUUUACAAAACUGGUGAGAGAGAGUAAGCAAAUGCCCAAAGCCCCGGAAAUGUCAAUGAGAGAUUAAAUUAGAGAUGCUAUCAAUGUAAUUAGCUAGGGAUCAUACGACGACGCUUUGGACGAGGAUUAAAUCAUGUUUUUUCUGUACUCAUGGGAAAUGUAAAAUGGCUAAAGCCUAAAGACCAACUCUUAUCCAUAGUCCAUCCCAAAUAGGAGGGGCGGAAAUAAACUAAAAACACAAAGGCAGAAACCCAGAAUCGUUAGAAGAAAAAGAAAAAAAAAAUGAAGCUCAACGUAUAUGCAGAUCGAAUUUCUCAGCCAUCUCGUGCUGUAGUCUUCUUCUGCAAGUAAAUUUCAAUCCUUUUACUUAUUUUCAACUACUAUUUGAUUCUGGGUGUUUUUUUCCCUUUCUUCAAAAUUGUUCCUUUUUUCUUUUUUUGUAUAUUUAGGGUAAAUGGUAUAGACUAUGAGGAGAUCAAAGUCCAUAUCCCAAAGGGUCAGCAUCUAACUCCUGAAUGCGAAGGUAUUCUUUUUUUUUUUUUGUUCGACGAAGGUAUUCUUUCAUUCUUAAUUAUUUCACCUUUCAAAUUAUAAUCAAUUAAUUAGUGUUACGAAAUUAUUUAUAGGAAACUGGACAUGUUCAGUUUUUAUUCCAAUGAUUUUGUUGCAGCAAUAAAUCUCAUGCAAAAGCUGCCUGCCAUUGCUGAUGGAAGAUUUAAGUUGUUUGAGAGGUAUUUAAAGAGUAUUUCAUGUACCCCUUGCUUUUUCCCCUCAUUUCAAAGGUUUCCUACAUAUUCAGUAUAUAUAAUUUUUGCAGCCAUGCCAUUCAUAUCUAUCUUGCUUAUGCGUUUCCUGGAGUUGCAGACUAUUGGUAAGUGCAGUUUCUUUCUCUUUCGGAGAGUAUUGACAGCGAUAGUAGCGUCUGUUGAUAUUGAAUUUCUUCCAUGCUUAUUUGUUGGAGUUCCUUGCUCAGCUUCUUUAUACUAAUUUACAGUGCUACAUCUCUAUUUGCAUGGAUGGUUGAAUGACAUAUCAUCAUACUAGGAUUAAUAGUUGCCACCAAAGUAGUUGGUUUACAUAUCAGCAUUUAGAGAUCAAACUUAAAUUUAAAAGGGAAAAAAAAGUUUUAAAUAGGAGUAGCAAUAACAAUGGUAAAUUUCAUUUGCUAAAUGAAUUCCACAGCACUUCCAAGAUCUACAUUACCUCCUGAAAGUAUAAUUCCUAUUUGGUUGCAUUCCUUCCAGGCAGGGUUGUUCCUGAAGCUAUCAGAUAAGGCACCUGCAAGCCCUAUGGCUCCACUUGGUUCAACUGCAACUCUAAGGAUUUCAUAGCAGAGUCUCAUUGCUUUGAUUGUUUCUGUAUCGUCCACUGUUAUUACGUUCUAUGGGCCUAAUCAAUCAUAAGGCAUAGAAUGAGACUUACUGAAAGCUAAGACACAGUGCUGUUUGCUGAUAGCUAGUGCACUAACUGAUAAAAGAGAACAUCUACAUACGGUGAAUAUAUCCUUCACACAUCAAUAAGACACCAUGGGAAUGAAUUUACCAGGUGAAUUCACCAAGGAAAGCUCUCAGGCCAUCAGCAACUGUAUUUGUUUCAGGUAAGGUUACAUUCUAACGCCACUUUUGAUUGAGCUGCAUCAUUUGCUCCCUUUGGUUCAGCAGCCAAAACUCAAAUGGCAGGAUUGAAAGACUUGGCAGCCAAUGCCACCCCUGAUUUCAAGCCACCUCCUGCAGAUUUUCAGAAACCAUUUGUACUUGAGAAGAAAAAACUCACAAAAAAAACGACAAAAAGGUGAUCGAUCAUGCAAGAAUAAUAACCAUAAAAUUGACAGAAAAAAACUCUGCGACGUAAACCACUGAUGGGAACUCUUUUAGUGUCCAUAUGAGGAGCUUGCUCUAAAAGCUCCAAGGAUACGGUACCCUGCCCACUGAAAAAGAUUUCCAUAUCAACUAAUUCCCCGUUAUAACAUUAAAUUACAGCAUUCACAGCUUAGAAGUGUUAAAUGUACUACCUUAUAAUGCGCCCAUCAGCAUGUGCAUGUAUUAGAGCUGCCCCAGUUUCUUGCAACACAUUGGUUGCAGUUUCCUCCUUUGACUGCAUCGUUGGCUCACUCCAUAUAACCUGACCACCGUACCACACUCUGAACUUUGCACUGUGGAGCAGUCUUCGGUAUAACUACAUAUGCAGCGAUCCGGCGUAACUUUGCAGCCAAUGCCAAUUCUGCAGCAUGGUUACCACUAAUUUUGGAGGAUGUGAUCAGGUCUAACCCAAUUAAAUAGCCAGGGAAGGAAACAUAAUGAAGGGUAUACAUGGAUCAUAGAUGGGUUUUAAGUAAACCUGCUAUGAGUUACAACUCCCUUACCAGCCUGCUGAUCAUCAAGUGAAAAUAUAGCAUUGCGAGCACCUCUGAAUAUGGAUACUCCCCUGUUAAGCAACUCAUAGAAGAGUGUUAAUUUGGAGAAUAAGAUGAAAACAAGUAAGAGAUGAUUCCCUUUACCCCUUUUGAAAACAUUUACACUUGAAGAACAGCCUCCUUCCAGAAAUAGCAUGCAGAGACUCUUAGUUCAGAAGUGGAGUUUUGUGUAUGAAAGAACCGAGCGCGCCCGUGCUUCUUGCAUAGAGAGAUCAGCAGCAUACUUCUCCUUGUUUACUUCCAUCUUUAAGCCACUGAAUCCAACACUUCAAUUCCAAAUUUGGGAGAAACAGGAACAAACCAAACAAUUUCAGAAGCUAUUGUAACAACCUAAUUUCCAGUAGUGUCAGAACAGUGAUUUGAGAUCACUAAAUCCGAUAAAAAAGUUAGAAAAUUUAUUAAUUAAUAAUUAUAAGUUAAGCGUGAUUUUAGAAAUAUUUCUAAACUUAGUUAAUUUUGUGAUUUAAAAUAAAUUAUUAGGUAAAUUGGGUCAAAAAUGAGGUGUUGAGAUCUCGAUAUUAUAAACUAAGUCGUAAAUAUUUUUAUAAAUAUUUAUGGAGUGUCAUUAGGGUAGUAUUAAAGUUUCGUUAAAAAAUUUUAAUGUUUCGAUGGUUAAUUGAUUAAAAAGAAUCUAAUUAAAAAAAUAGAUUUCUGGGACUUUAUUUCGAUAAAUCAAACUUGUAAAUAUUUAUUAUAAAUAUUUAAGAAGUUAGUUGUUUAUUUAAUUAGGUGAAUUUGACUUAAUUAGGAUUUAUUGUAAAAAAAUGACUAAAUUGAAGUAGGGAAAAGUUGAAUAAUAGAUUAAAAAAAGUUAAAAGGGCCAAAUAGGUAAUUAUGCCUUUUUCUAAAGUUGAGUCGGCAUAUACAUGAUAAAAAUUUUAGAUUUUUUUUAAGUAUAUUAUUAUUUUAUUGUAUUGUAAAUUAUAUUAUAUUAUUAUAUUUCAAAUAAACAAAAUUUUUGACAAAUGCAUGGUGUAUAUGAUGACAUGUGGAAAAAUAAAAUACAUAUAUAUUAGUAAUGAUUACAUAUUUACUUAUUAUUUAAGUAAGUAAUAUUAUAUUAUUAUUUUAUUGUUAUUAUAUUAAUCUAAUUAAAUAAAAGAAAUAAAAGAUAGAAAAAGGGAAUAGAAACAGAAUAGGCAAACGAAACAGAGAAGGAAAGAAGGAACGGAGAAGGUGAACAAAGAGUGACUCGAGAAAAUUUACGGUUAGUAUUACUAUAAUUCGAAUUUAAUUAUUAAUUAUUAAAAAUUUAAAUUAAUAUACAUGAUAAGCAAAUUAAAGUAAGUAUCAUGAUUGAAUUGAAUGAUAAAUACGUAUUGAUAUUGAAUUUAUUAAUAGCAAUUAUUGAAUUUUGAAUAAUAUGUUUAGUAAAUAAAAAUAAGGUGAAUAUCGAUAUUGAAUUAAUGUAGUAUUGAAAUGCAUAUUGGAUAAAAAAUUUUGAUUUGAAUUGUGAUCAUGAGAAAUUGUGAAUUGAAUGAAAUUAAAAUGAAGUAUAAAUAUGUAUGAGCAUUUGACGGUAUACUGAUUGGAAGGUGAAAAAUGUAUUGAAUUAAAUUGUGAUUAAAUUGGAAUUGAAAAUAUGAGAAAAUGAUUGAAUUGAAAUGUGAUUCGAAUACCCUAUUAACUUAUCGGACUAGAUUGGAUACAAAUGGCAUGCCAUAGGAUUUGUGAUGUGAUGAGGAGAUUUGUAGCUCGGCCGAGAAGAUGAUUAUGUUAUUACAUGCUUCGGUUUAUCCGAAGAGGCAUUUAAUGUCUUAUUGGUGUGUUUGGGAGGAUAUGAUAUAUUGGUGUGUUAUGGAGGAAUUAUAUUUAUUUCGGGUGUGUUUUGGUUGGAUAUUCUGGUGUGUUUGGGUGGAAUCCGCGUAUCUGUCAGAGUCCGAGUCAAGUUAAUAGGGGUAAAUGAAUAAUUUUGAUAAUAUAAAUUUUAUUGAAUGAUCUUGAAUAUGAAUCGAAAUGAGAAGUGAAAAUAAAAUGAUUUGAAAUUGUGAAAUAAUAUGCGAAUUUAAUUGAAUACAAGUUAUUGAAAUUUAUUUAUGGAUUUAAUGAAUAAAUUGAGUGUUAAAAGAUUAUAAGUGUAAAUUGAUUAUAAAUGAACGGAUUGAAUUAAAAGAUAAUUAUUAUUAUUAUUAUUAUUAUUAUUAUUAUUAUUAUUAUUAUUAUUGUUGUUGUUGUUGUUGUUGUUGUUGUUGUUGUUGUUGAAACAAGUUGAUUUAAUGUAUUAAAUGUUUAUUGAAAGAUUAACGGCAUAAAUUGAAUUAAGAAAUAGUGUAUGAGUUAAUUUGAAUAAAAUUUUAUAAAAUUAGUUAUUAUAAUUGUUGUUGAAAAAUCCAAUAAAAAUUUAGAUAGUGAAAUAAGGUAUGAAUAAUAUUGCUUAUUGUUAUUAAUUAUCAAGUUGAUUUAAAGUACGAGAUAAUUAAUGAAUAAUUGUAGACAUAAAUUUAAAUGUCUAUAAUUUAUCGAUUAAUGUUAUUAAUUUGAAUUAUGGUAAUACCACUGAGUAUUCAUAUACUCAGCGUACGGUUGUCUCCGUGCGCAGGUUAGUAGAAAGCCAGUGUCCGGUCCAGCAUCCAGAGCAAUCCCGACCUCAGAUAAAUUUUAGUGAUGUGCCUUUCUUUUGAUAUUGUGGCAUGUAUUUAGGUAAUGUAUUAAUUAAACUAUACUAUGUAUGUUAUUUAUUUGUGAACUAGUGAUAAGUUAUCCGAUAUAUCCGGUAAUGCUCCAUAACCUAAUUCUGGCAACAGAUAAGGGUUGGGGGUGUUACAGCUAUAAUCUGGCUAAAGCAACAUCCAAUUAAGAAAUAUAACUGUAAACUACCCAAACUAAAAGGAUGCAAAAUUAUUGAUGCAAACACUUGGAAUUUGGCUACUGUAAACUGGGUCUAAUGGAUAAUGAAAGAAAAGGUGGAGAAUGAAGCCAUAAACUUUAAGAAGGAAGAUAAAGAUUAAAACUUCAACGACUUAUAAAAUAUGACUUUGACAGAGUAAGCAAAUGCCGAAAGCCUGAGACAGAAAUGUUAAUGAGAUUAGGGGUGAGUUUGGAUGGGUGGUGUGUUUAUCUCUGGUGAGGUUAAAAAUAGCGAUGGCGGUGAGAUUAAUUACUGUAGCGGUGAGAUUGGAUAAUGUAGCGGUGAGAUUAGAAACAAUGGUGGAGUGUGUGCUUGGAUUCAAACGCAGCUGUAGCGGUGAGGUGAGAAUAAAAAAUAACUAUUAAUGACAUCAGAUUAGAAUUGAUAUAUAAUAGAAUUUUUUAAAAUUAUUUUAUUUUUUAAAAAUUAUUAAAAUAUGUAAAUUUAUAAAUUCAUUUAAUAAAUAUUAAAAUGUAUCUUUCAAUAUUUUAAUGAAUUAUAUAAUCAAUUUAAAUUAUUUAUUAGAUAAAAUGAUAAUUAUUUUUAAUUUUUAUAGUUAAAUAUUUUUUUAUAACAAUGAUAAAUAUUAUUUAGCUUUCAAGGAUAAAAUGGUAAAAUAAUAAAUAAAAGUAAUGGUACUUUUUGUUUGUUAAAAAUACAAUAGCACCCUUAAUUUUCAAUUGCUGCUGAAACCUCCAGCAGAAAAUCAACUAUCCAGCGUGGUGAGAUUACUUUUCAGUGGACUGCUCUGCUGAACCAAGUGAGAUUCACACCCUCAACUGCACCUUAAUUACGUGCUGAAGCAAACUAAAAGAAGCCUAGAUCUGCUUAGAGAUAAUGUAAUUCGGUAGAGAUCAUACGACGACGCUUUGGACUAAGCUUGUUAGUAAAGGACAAAAGCCUACACCAUGUUUUUGUCCUCAUGAAGGAAAUGUACUAAAAUGGCUAAAGCCCAAAUUCCAACUCUUAUCCAUAGCCAAUCCCAAUAAGGCAGCAGCUGAGAGGGGAGGGAGGAGGGUAAAGAAACAAAGGCACAGAAACCCAAAAUAGAUAGAAAAAAAAAGGGGGGGGGUGGAAUGAAGCUCAAAGUAUAUGCAGAUCGAAUGUCUCAGCCAUCUCGUGCUGUCAUCAUCUUCUGCAAGUAAAUUUAAUUUCUUUUACUGAUUUUCAACUAUCUGAUUCUGGGUGUUUUUCUCUUUCUUCAAAAUUGUUCUUUUUUUCUUUUUUGUAUAUUUAGGGUAAAUGGUAUAGACUAUGAGGAGAUCAAAGUACAUAUCUCGAAGGGUCAGCAUUUAACUCCUGAAUUCGCGGGUAUUGUUCCAUUCUUAAUUAAUUCACCAUUCGAGUUAUAAUUAAUUAUUAGUGUCAUGAAAUUAUUCCAAUGAUUUUGCUGCAGAAAUAAAUCCCAUGAAACAGCUGCCUGCCAUUGCUGAUGGAAGAUUUAAGUUGUUUGAGAGGUAUUUGAAGAGUAUUUAGUUUACCCCUUGCUAUAUCCCCCUCAUUUCAAAGGUUUCCUACAUAUUCAGAAUAUAUAAAUUUUUGCAGCCAUGCCAUUCUUAUCUAUCUUGCUUGCGCAUUUCCUGGAGUUGCAGACCAAUGGUAAGUGCAGUUGCUUUCUCUUUCAGCUUACAUUCUAUGGAUAGGGAUAGUGUCUGUUGAUACAAUUUCUUCCAUGCUUACUUUUUGGAGUUCCUUGCUAAGCUUCUUUAUACUAUUACUUACAUACAGUGCUACAUCACUAUUUUCACAUGGAUAGUUGAAUAACAUAAGUGGUAUAUCAAUGGCACAGUGUUAUACAGUGUUAAUGCUAGAAGGAUCUUAUGACAUCUGACUUACUUGCUGAUGUCUAUGUGCUCUGGAUUAUUGUUUUACUUGAACUUAUGUGGUUUCUAAAUCUAACCACAUGAUUUUCAAAUGUAUUUUUGGCACAUUCCACGUUCAGUUUGAUCUGCAACUCAAUUCUUAACAAAUUUGCUCAUCCGUGUUUUAAGGUAUCCAGCUGAUGUUUUCAAGAGAAGUAAGAUACACUCGGUGUUGGAUUGGCAUCACUCCAACUUACGUCGUGGUGCAGGUGUAUAAUUAACACCGAAAGAAUCAAACUAUUUAAAUGAUUGAUGAAUGGUGAUUGAUAGUGUAGGACAAUAUUGCUUUUAUCACAAUUCUUGCUUUAUGACAUGUUGUUACCCCUUCUGGAUCAAUCCCAUUACUAUAACAACAUUUUCUCUGGAUUGGCAUUUCAAGCAUCAGAUUUGUGCACUUCUUUUCCCUUAAUUACAAUAUUAGACUAUCAGGAUGCUAAAUUCCUUCCAUUCUUUAGUUUUGGCAUCUUCACAUCAAUAAAUGAUUGUGCUUGACUGUGUGUGCAACUCAAAUUCACUUUUCGUCGUCUAUGUGGUUGCAUCAACUCCUAUGACAUAUGCUUGGCUAUGUUGUUAUGCAUAUAAAUGUUCCCUUCCUUGGGUAAGAUAGGUGUUUGAACUCGAUGAUUCUCUUUUCAGCCCCAUAUGUUUUCAAUACUACAAUUGCACCUAUACUUGGCCGUCCAUUGAAUCCACAAGCAGCUGCUGAAGCUGAGAUAAUUCUGUCCUCAUCUCUUUCGAAGCUAGAGUCCUUUUGGCUCAAGGGUAAUGGACGUUUUUUGCUAGGCGGGAACCAACCAUCCAUAGCAGAUCUUAGCCUUGUUUGCGAGUUAACGCAACUUGAGGUACCUUUUUGUGACUUGAUUUUUUGUCCAAAUUUCAAUAUUUUGUUGGUGCCUUCUCUGGUGGAACAUAAUAUAUUGUGAUAUAGGUUCAGGAUUGUCCUCCUUAGAUUACCUUUUUCCUUAAAGACACUCAUGUGCUACCACUCAUCACCAUAAUCAUCUCAACAACAACCUUAGCCUUUUUUCCACUACAUAGAUUGUUUCUUGGAUCUCCCCGUUGUGUACUUUUUAGGACCAUUUCCUUUAUAAGCAUCAUAAAAUGGGGUUGCACUAGUGCAAGUUUUAGUUUUAUAGACUUGUCUGCCUACAUUUCAGCAGAAAAGAUUGUCAUGUUUCAUCUGUUUUAAAACAGAGCUCAAGACUAGUCCUGAGAUUUGCCUUUCUGCUCAAACCCAACAUAUAUUUUAUUACUUGCAGUGCAUCCCGUGACCUACACCACUCCGGUAUAUGUUAUUCAGUGACAAAAGUUUUUGUUUCUAUAAAUUAUAACUUCAAGAUUGAUUGCUAAUCUCAGAAUCUUUUGAAAGACAUUGAAAUUUGAUAAAAGUUUAUUGGACGUAGGUUUUGGAUGAGAAGGAUCGCACUAGGUUAUUGGGUCCGCACAAGAAAGUGCAGCAAUGGAUUGAGAACACAAGAAAUGCCACAAAUCCUCACUUUGAUGAAGUACAUAGAGUGAUCAUGCUGGCCAAAGAAAGACAACAACAUCAGCGGUUAAAGGCAGCAAAAAAUGAAGGCGGAUCCAACAUGAAAAAGCCGUUGGUUUCUAGAAUGUGAGGGAAAACCGUAUUACCAAGUACUUAUUUCCAGAUGAUAAGCAAUUAUUAGCUUGUAUAAACACGAUACAUGUUUUACCUAUGGUUUAUACUGCAAGUCCUAUGGUUAGAUUUAUACUGUUGUCCUAACUCUAGUAUCUAUUGUUGCAAAUUUUCAUUCUCAAAAGCUGUGUUGCUUGAUCAGUAUCACUAAUGGAUAUUAUUUGUUGCCCUUGCUCUAAGGGUUUUGCACUUUUGCAUCGUAUUUUGGUCCCCCUACCCUACCACUAGCAGAUCUCUAUAGGGUACACCAAGCAGCCAAAAUGCCUGCUGAAAAAACUGUACCUUAAUCAUUAAAAAGGCUACAAAAAUCCCAUAUGGUCGCUUGUCAUAAAGAAGUUUUUACUUUAAACCAAAAAUAGAAAUAACCAAAUUCUAGCUAUUUGACUUACACAGAUAUAUGAACUAGCUGGCUCCUGAAGCUCAACUGUAUCAACAUUCAGAGCUGUCAUGUUCAUGUCAUUUACCUUAUUACAAGCGAAUGUUUUACAGUUAUUUGAUAAAGUGCUCUAUAGUGAAAAACCAUUAACUAUUCUGGUCUAUGGGGACUCAAAUGCCCAGCCUGAAAAGUUUCAAAGACGCAUUUUCCUUAACAAUGUGAAUGGAAUCGAAUGAAUUCUAGGACUGGGUUUUAUGUUAUCUUUUCGACCAUUUAUCUAGUUCUACACGUAUUUGAGCAUAUAUCACUUUCCAUUUAUAUCAUAAAUGUCACAUUUAAGAAUCUAAACUGCUUAACAAGAUCGAAUAGUGUUUUCAUCCACACAUAGCUUCCUUGUAUCGAAAACCCCUUCUGGAGAACCACAGAAAGUUGCUAAAUUGGCUGCCUCCAUUACGUAUUCUCUGCUGCAAGAGAUCCUGAUCCUUACUCACUUCUCCGCAUUCAACGACUCGACAGAUGGCCCUGAUUUAUCAUACGUGUUAAGAGAAGAAAAGUCCUCGUGUAGACACCAUCUUCACAAUCCUACUAACCCCCACCCCCUGGCCAAGAUUUUUCACAAGGCGCCAAAAGAUUCCUGUUUUACUUGAAAUAUGCUCGUUCGACGAAAUCUAAGUGCACUUGCUGUGUCUGCUUCUCUACUUUUAGGAAAGCGUUCCUCACCGAGUUUCAACCAAACCCUUUUGAGUUUUCCACAGAUUUCACCAGUUUAUCUGGUAUCUCACUCGAUCAAAACAGGGUCUCCAAGGUCUCUCGUGGGUAGUUUGAGAUUUGAUCAUACUAUGGCUGCUCAGUCCUCCAAGGGGUCAGUUCAUGACUUCACUGUUAAGGUUGGUUUUGGGUAUAAAUUUUACCCCCACAGACGAAGUUUAUUUGAUUCAAAUUUAGUUUUGUCUUUGAUUCAAUUUUCAAUCAGCCCUCCCCCCCCCCCCCAAGAUAUGGGUUUGGUUCUUCAGGAUGCAAAAGGAAAUGACGUCGAUUUAAGCAUUUACAAGGGCAAGGUCCUCUUGAUUGUCAAUGUUGCAUCUCAAUGGUACCUCUAAUUUCAAUUUUGUGUAACAAGGAUAUAGUGGAUUGAUUGCACAUUUAGAUGAUGCUUUUCUUUGGCCUACUUGUUGGAUUUUUAGCUUUAAUUUCUGGACAGUUUUGAAUUUGGUGCUUAAAAUGUUGAUGCAGUGGCUUGACCAACUCCAACUACACUGAGCUGAGUAAAUUGUAUGAGAAAUAUAAAGAUCAAGGUUUGUUUUAGCAUCCUUGUAGCUUCUUGUUUCUGAGGACCAUUCAUGAGCCUUUGAUUAUUUGAUUUGCUGGUUUGUCGGGUCAGGUUUCGAGAUUCUGGCAUUUCCAUGUAACCAGUUUGGGGGUCAGGAGCCAGGGAACAAUGAAGAAAUCUUGGAGUUUGCUUGCACUCGCUUUAAAGCUGAAUACCCCAUAUUUGAUAAGGUAUAUAUCCUUUUGACUUUAUAUGAAUGAUGUUGCUAAUUUUACUUUAUAUAGUUAAUGUUUCUUAGCUUAAUAACUAGUCUUUUUGGGUCUGCAAAACUCCUUAUUCCGGUUGCCUAUGUGAUAAUAUGGUGUGCAAGCCUUUGUAAAGGCUUCAGUGACAUUAAGAUAACGAGCUCUUCUCCUCAUGUCCACAUGGUUUUAGGCAUGUUGGAGUUGACUUCAUUUCAAUGGAUUGCAGGUGGAUGUGAAUGGCGAGAACGCAGCUCCGAUAUACAAAUUCCUGAAGGCUAGCAAAGGUGGAGCUCUGGGUGGACUUCUGGGGGACGACAUCAAGUGGAAUUUUGCCAAGUUCCUGGUGGAUAAAGAGGGACAUGUUGUGGAUCGUUAUGCCCCCACUACUUCCCCUAUUAGCAUCGAGGUAAACCACCUCCAUUUUUGCCUUUUCUUUUGCUUCAUUUAUACCCAUCACACCAUUCAAUGAUCAAAGCUCCUAAUUGAUUUCAGUUGAUAUUUGCAGAAGGAUAUAAAGAAACUGCUUGGCUGAUGUUUUGGGCUUCGUCACCUCAGGCUUUGAGUGAAUAAAGUUAAAUGUUUUUACCAAUAAAAUCUAUUACGAUGGUGUUUCUCUCUUCUUCUUUUUUCCUUCCAUCUGUUAAGAUGGGUUAGACUGUACCAGAAUUUACAAGUUGAACCCUAUAACUUAAUAUAUAUAUACAUAUUAUAUAAUAUUUACAAAUUUUAGAAUUUAUCAAUAAUAGAAAUAAUUUUAGAACUUAGCGACAAAUUACAAGAAUUUCAUGCUCAAAGCUCAUGUCCUUGAGAAUUGUAAUUCUUUCAUCAUUGUCGAAAUUAUUUUUAUUUUUAAAAAAAAAAUAAAAAUUAGUUGUCAAUGAAAAUUUGGAGUCGCCACCAAUCUUUUAUUAAAGUGUGAUUGGAUCACUUAAAAUAAUUUUGGUCUACGAGUUUUUAGAAAAACGGGUUCGGGAGUCAGUUACGUUCGAGGAAGGAUUAGCACCCUCGUAACGCCUAAAAAUUGGUACCAAAUUGACUAAUUAAUGUCUUAAUGUUGAGAGUUAAAAGUACGAUCUUUAAUUAAAUUAAAUUAAAUUAUUUAUUAAGACUCUCUCAUUUUGAAAUAGAAAAUAUCACACCCAAUGCGUUAGGGCACGAUAUUUUAUUUUUUCAAGAUGAGUUUAUGAGUUUGUCCAAAACAUUUGCGUGAUAAAAUUUAAAAAGAAUAUUCAAUUGUUUAAAAUUUAUGAAGAAAUUACAGUCCAAUACAUUAGGGCACAAUCUCUUAAAAUCUCAAACAUUGAAUAUUUCCUUUCUUAAUUUUUUUAAAAAAAUAUUUAUCUCGAUAAAUCAACACGUCACAUCCAAUGUAUUAGGACACAACAUAUUGAAUUCCCGACGACAAGCCUUUCAUUUUAUUUUUGAUUAAAGAGUAAUUCUCGAUUAUUAGAUUUAUCGAAGAAAAUUGGAACCCAAUACGUUAUGGCUCAAUUUUCAUGAAAAAUCCUAAAUACGAGUAUUAUCUCUAUUUUGAAAAUUUUUUGUUUUUAAAUUCGAGUAAAAAGAUGAUGUAAUGUUAUAUUAAAUGGAAAAUACAAUAAUAAAUACAACUAUGGCGUAGAAAUAAGAUAAAACAAUUAAAUAAACGAAAUUAAUGUACAUAAUAAAAAAUAAUGACAUGCGAAAUAUCAAAUAAAUGAACAAAAUAAAAACAUUCUUUAGAAUAUAAAUGAAAACACAAAUGAAUAAACGAGUGAGGGAAAUAAAAAGCUUAUAAAAAAAAGUAAACAAUAAAGAAUAUAAAUGUUGAAAUUAUGGAAAAAAACAUGGAUUUACAUAUAAAAUUUGGAUUAUAGAAUUUAUAUAACAAAUUAUAUAUAAUGCAUUUAUAAAAAGAAAUAUAUAAACAUAUAUAUUAUAAAAUAUGUGUAAAAAAGAAUAUAUAUUUAAAAAAACGGGGAUCGACUUUUAAAAUGAAAACAGAAAUGGGAGUCGUCACCGAUCUCUUAUUGUGGUGUAAUCGGAUCACCUUGAAAAUAAUUUUAGGUCUACGAAUUUUGAAAAAAAUAAGGUUCGGGAGUCGGUUACGCACGAGGAAGGGUUAGCACCCUCGUAACGCCCAAAAUUGGUACCGAAUCGAUUGUUUAAUAUCUUAAUGUCAAAACCUUGAAAGGAUUUUAAAAUAAGAUCCUUUGAAGAGAAAAUUUGAGUAAUCGGAUUGGGAAAUAAGACUAACCUACUUUAAAGAAAUAAAUCGUUAUAUUCAGUAAGUUAGAGUGCAACGAUUCAAUCUUCGAAGUUAGAUUCGUCCCUUUUUAAAAUUUAAAACAAAUUCAUACAUUUGGAGAAGGAUAUUUGGUUAUUUAAAUCGAUCGAGAAAAUCAAAACCCAGUAAGUUAGGGUUCAAUUUUCUUCAAAUCCUUAAACACCAAAUAUUUCUUUUAUUAAAAAACGAGAUAACAAAAUGUCACAUCCAAUAAGUUAGGAUCAAACAUUUUGAAAUCUAAAGAAUAUUAUUAUUAUUAUUAUUAUUUAAAUGUCUUAAAGAAAGGGAUACUUAAUGAUAUAAAUCCGUCGAGAAGAAUUGAGGCCUAGUAAGUUAGGACACAAUUCUCUCGAGAAUUAUUUAACACCAAGCCUCUUUUUUGAACUUUUGAAAUGAAACGAUUAUAAUAUUUUAACGAAAUGAAUUUUUUACAACCAAUAUAAUUGAAUAACAACAUGUAAUGCAAAAUAUAAAUAACAAUUUAAACUUAAACUAGAAACAAUUAAACAAAUAAUAGGCAAAUACUAACAUCGACCUUAAUUAUAUUAUACAAACAUCCUUAUUAAUAAUUUGACAACCGACCAAAACGAAUAAAAUAAAUAAGGUUUAAGAAAUAAAACAAUUAUGUAUAAAAAAAUUAUGUGAAUAAAAGGUUAAUUUGAAGUUAACGAUAUACCCUAUGUACAUAUAUACUAAAAUAGUCUAAUUUAAAUUAUAUGUAUUUUUAAAUAAUAUUGAUACAUUUAAAACAUAUUGAUAACAAUUAAAAAAUAUAUUAUUAUAAUUAUUAUAUAUAUUUUUUUAAAAAAUAGAAUUUGUGCUAAUAAUAAAUUUGAAAACAAUAUCUAUUAAAAUAAUGUUAUAAAUUGAUUUAUUUAAAAAACUUUUUAAAUCAAAAUUAACAUAAAAGGCAUUUUUUGACAUUGAAAAUAAUAAUCAACAAUUUUUUUUUUUAAAUCGAAGCUUAGAUAAAAUUAAAACAAUAAUGAAAUCUGUUUAUAAAAGUAGGAUUAAUUAUAAUUAAAGACAUUUUGAGUAAAAAAAAUCUAAAUUUGUAUCAAAUCGAAAUCCGUUUUAACCUUGGAGGACUAAACCAACAAUUAAACGCAAGCAUUAUAAACAAUAACAAUCAACCGCAGAACGGUACCGUAUCAAGUCGGAUGUGAAUGGAAACAAAAAUAAAUGUGCCGUACAAAUUACAAUUAAAUAAAAAAAACGUAAUCUCAGUAAACACACAGGGACCUAUUUAGCAAAUAAACCAUUCGACCCAUAUUGCGCGGAUCCUUCCCGUAUCGGGUCACCGUUCGGGUCGAAUCUCCAAAACAAUGUCGUUUCAGUGCCAUUGCAUUGACUCUGAACGGCGUCGUUUUAAUUCCUGCACUUAAAAACUACAUAAAUCCUAAAACAUAGGGUUUACAUUAGCAGAACCUAAACAAAAAGAAAGGCUCGUCGCCGCUCUGGGGAUUCAUUGCCUCCGAAGACUCCUAAUCUUCGCCCCAACUCCGAUGGCUGCGGAGUGAGCAAAAAUAUGGCCCUCAGGUAUGCCCCUCUUCCCUUUUCUCCUUUAGCAGAUGACUAAUGUAUGUAAAAACAAAAGGAAAGAAGGAAAACGAUCUGCGAAAAUCACCUUUUGGAACUUUUUUUUGAUUUCUGUAUUCCGAAAAUGCGUGUAAAUCGUUUACAGUGUUCGAAUGGCUUCUUUAUAGCCCCAUUUACAGAAAAUAAAAUAAAAAAUAAAAUAAAAAAAUGCUGUUCUUUUUCUAUUUGUUGUUGCUUCCGUGUGUUCGCUUGUAUUUGCAGGUACUCGGCCAGCCUAGAGGUAUGGAGGUGGUCGUACGGAGGCAUGCGUGGCAUACGAAGGCAUCACGCGCGUGAGGAGUGGCUCGAAGGGGAGCCCGUACGUGGCAACGGCGGCUGAAGGGUUCCAGAAACCCUAGUGAUUUCUGGAAUACUUUUUCAAAAUAGGCUAAUUGGGCUGAAUAGGGUUUUGGGUUAGGUGUUGGGCCACUGUAACUGGGCCAAUCAGAUUUAGUGUUCGGUCAUGGGCAUUUGGGCUAGUUGGGUUUGGGUAGUGGAUUUGGGCUAAUUAGGUUUGGGUAAUGGAUUUGGGCCAUUAGGCCUGCUGUAAAAAAAUGGACUGUAUUAUUAUUUUUUGGACUUUAAUUUUUAAUUUUUAAUUUUGGGUUACUUAUUACGGGCCUGGGCAAAAAUGGCCUAUUACAAGAAAUAUAUAAACAUAUAUAUUAUAAAAUAUGUGUAAAAAAGAAUAUAUAUUUGUGCAUAAAUAUAUACGUGUAUAUAUAUAAAUAAAAAAUAUUUGUUAGAAAUAUAUAUAUAUACGCAUGUGCACAUAUAUAAAUAAUAAAUAUAUACAUAUAUAGAUUUUUGAAAAAAAAAUACAUAUAUAUAAAAAAACAAUUACAUCAUUAAUUAAUUAAAAAAUAAAGAAAAUAAAAAAGGACUAAAUUGAACUAUAGACAAAAAUCUGGGGCAAAUUUGCAAAUAAUUAAAAAUUAGGGGGCCCUAUUAAACACGCUAAUAAUUCAGAGGGGCUGGAAAGGAAAUUAUCCCUUCUCAUUCAAAACGUCAUCGUUCAAAUAGGAUUAAAUUAAAAUCGAAGAAAAAUUAAAGGGAUAAUUUUUAAAAAAUAAAAGAAACCUAAUUGUAAAAACUUUAAAAGGCGGAGGGACUAAAAGUGCAAUUUUCCCCUCUGCUCAAAAACACGGGGAUCUUAGGCCGGGUUGGGUCGGUUCUGGGUCGACCCAUGCCCAAAACGGCGUCGUUUUAGCUGGCUAUUUAAGCCAAAAACCUUUCAAAAAAAUCAUUUCUUUAAAAAAAAAAAAAAAAAGCUCUCAACCCUUCAGUUUUCCGGCGUCCAGUCUGGCCAUCAGUCGGUCAUCGGCCACCGUGUCAGCCGCCGAUCUCCGGCGCCAGUACCGCCGUCUACGGUGGCCAAAAAAAUGGGAAAAUUACCCUUUCGUCUCUCUCGACCCUUCCAAGCCCAAAUCUGGAUUCAAAAUUUUCAAGAAACCACAAGAACACCCUCAAAAACCCUAGAAACCUUUCGGCUUCUAACCGUCUAUCCUCGGAGAUGAACCUCGGCCGUCCCAACGGCUUUUCAUAGGUAAACAAAAGUAAGUUCUUUAUUUUUUUUGUUUUAUUGUAUUUUAGUAAAGUAAUAUAUAUAUAUAUAUAUAUAUAUAUAUAGAGAGAGAGAGAGAGAGAGAGAGAGAGAGAGAGAGAAUAGAACGAUGCUAAAAUAUCAACCUUUCGAUUUCUUGGUUGAUCUUUGUACUCUUGAUAUUCUGUUUGCUUGUGAAAAUAAUAGGCUUUUUUUGUAUUGAUUUUCGUAUCCUUUUUACAGUAUAUCUAAUCUGCUUUUAUAAUAGUAAUGAAACAAAAAAUGAAAAGAAGAUCCACUCGUAUCUGGUUGAUCCACGAUCUUCUUGAUUUUCUUGCCAUAUUCGUUGCUUGUAUUACCUUGUUUCUUUUCUUGCUGUGCAGGUGAAGGUGUGCGCGUGGAGAUUCGGCUUGUGUGGAAGAUUUGGUUGCGGCGGCUGAAGCUUACCUAAGAAACCCUAGGGUUUUUGCCACUGCUUUGGGCCACUAGAUUUGGGCCUCUAUUUUUGUAUUUUGGGCCUUGUAGUCUGGGCCAACUUGUUUUGUUCUGGACUUGUACAAAAAACACUGGACUUAUUAUUAUUAUUUUUGCUUAUUAAGGGCCAGGUAAAAUUUAGUUAUUACAAUAGUAUAGAUACCCAUGCAAAUCUUUGCGUUCCAUGCAUCACUGACUGUACAUGAAAGCUUGGCCAAUUAGCCUCGCAAUUUUAAUAAAAUCUUUUGGAAUAGAAUAUGGCAGUUAAAUUAGGAAACUUAGAAAUAUCAUAAGAUCUUUAAAAAAAUAACAAAAUUAUUCCAAUAUUUUAUAAAACAAAAUAAAUUACCCCAAUUUUUAAAGUAUAUUUUUACAUAAAUAUAUUUUUAACCAUAUUUUUAGUGUGGAAAAUUUUUAAUCAAUUUGUUGAAUUGGGAAUUUUUUAAAAUUUAUACAUCUUUUCAAAUUUUAAUUCUAUUUAGAAUCGGGUUAAUUGAUAUGUAUUGCGCACCCAAGCCCCCACCACCGGCCCACUCAAUAAACCAAUUCAAUAUUAAAAAUCCAUAACCCACUGAUACUAACCCAGUAUCCUUAACCCAACCCGAAAAUCCCUAAUCUAAAAUAAAAAAUAACACAAAAAUCCCCAAUCCACUAACCCUAAUCAGUAAUCUAAUGUUCGUAUCUCCCCAAAUAUCUUGCUUCCUCCGAAAUCUCCCUACCACCGAGUGCCGACAGCCACCAGUCACCACCGACCACCGUAACCCAACGCAGUGACGCAACUUCACUGUCUGGUCACUUCACUCACCACCGUCCAAUAUUUCAAGGCUCAAGCAGCUUGCACUCUUCUGGGUUCUCCGUUGUCGUCGCUCAUCAUCGCUGGAACCCCUUUUACCUUCAGGUUCUUUCUGGGUUCUCGGAUUUUCAAGGUGUAAUUAGUUGCCUUGUUUAUUGAUAAAUGGACAUUGUUGGGGAUUAGUUUAGGAUUGGGUUUAUGCCAAAAUUCUUUUAAUUUUAUCGAAAACCUUUCACAAAAUUUUUAGUUUUGCCCCUAAUCACGGGGAAGUACUUAGUAGUGACAUAGCUUUUUUGUGUUCAUUGUAGCAGCUUUAAAGAAUUUUACUUAUAAAAAGGACAUGACAGAACAAAUUUAAGACAGCAGCCCUAUACCUUUGCCUCCCCAAAUCAGUUCCUAUUUUCACCAAAAAUCCCUAGGUGUUGUGUGCCGCUCACCAGCAGGUGAAGCUGCUGCUUACUCUGUCGCCGGAGUUCACUACGGUGCUGCUUGUCAAUCUCAUCCAAUUCCAGGUAUCUCCAUGGCUUCAAGAGAAACUAUAUUUUCUUUCAAUCCCUUCUAUAUUCAAUCCUACUUGUCCUCGAAGUUGCCGUUAAAUCAAAUUUUCUUUUUGGAUUUUUGCAUCUUUAAUUUCUUGAUUAAUUGGUGAGAUCUUUUCAUUCUUCAAUCACUUAAUGCAUCGUUUUGUUUCUUUGAUGUUUAAUGUUAUAUUGAAUUCGUUGUUAAAGAUUGUUUCUUUGGACUAUUCUUUGAAUGAGAGAUACAUGGAUUUUAAGUUUUGAAUUCACUGUUAAAGUGUCUCAAAAGCUUGAAUUCCAAGUUAUUUUUUUUAACUUUACUGGAGUUAACAAAUUUUUUUAAAGCUUGAACUUUUCUUUUUGCCAUUGAUGUAGGGUGUUGGAAUUCACUGUUUAAAGGUUCCCAGUUAUUAAAGCAUGAAUUCACUGUUAAAGCGUCUCAAAAGCUAUGAACUCUUUUUUUGCCAUUGAUGUAGGGUGUUGGAGAUUCAUACUAAUUUACAUGUGAUUUAAGUUUUUAGAAAAAUGGGUAAUUGUUUAGGGUCAGAAUGGAUCCCUCAAAGCAAGAAACAAACCAAAAAAAAGCUUCUAAACCGAUGGCUAGGAAGGAAACCCAAGAAUUCCAAUUUGUUGUUUACAAUACCAUGACUCAGCAAAAAGAGGUUUUCAAUCCCAAAAUCCCUGGAAAAGUUCGCAUGUAUGUCUGCGGUGUCACUGCCUAUGAUUUCAGUCACCUUGGCCAUGCUCGUGCUGCCGUUUCCUUUGAUGUCCUUUACAGGUGCAUAAUUUGUCUUAGAGAAACCCCUUAUGCUUUUUUCCCCCUUUAUUUUUAAAAUUGGUUGCUGACUAUUGGAAUUAUACAGGUACCUUAAGCAUUUGGGUUAUGAGGUUACUUAUGUCAGGAAUUUUACUGAUGUUGAUGAUAAGGUUUGAAUUUCUAUCUGAGCAGCUCUUUGCUUUCGGUUUUUGGUGAUUUAUUUGAGAGCAAUGACGUAUUUUGUUUUUUUGUUUUUUUAUGUUGAAAUGAUACUUAUCAUUUGAAUCUGAUGCAUUCAACUGAUGUAUUUCUAAUAUUGGGGUGGGGAGUUGAAACUUCAACUUAAUAAUUGUUUUCUCCUUUUGAGCUUAUUGAAUAAUUAUGUCAACAAUUGACGUUACAAGAGCUUAAAGACUUCUAUUUGAUUUGUUUAUCUGUUUUGAACUCGUUUAUGAGCAUUUUUUCUGGAGAUGUUAUAGCCAGAAUGCGUUCUCUUGUUGCUUAUGGUUUACCACUUUUACUUUCUGACUAAUAGUCCAUCUCUCAUAUCUCAACAACAAUUAUGUCUUUCUCAUAUUAUGAGAGCUACUGAUUGGACUUUUUCAGAUAAUUCGUCGAGCCAAUGAGACUGGAGAGGAUCCAAUAAGUUUGAGUGACCGGUACUGUAAAGAAUAUAAUAUAGAUAUGAGUGAUCUACAGUGCCUUUCUCCAACACAUGAGCCACGUGUUUCUGAUCACAUGGAGCAGAUCAAAGAUAUGAUAACUCAGGUUUCCUUCCUGUUUAAUAUGCUGGUUUUAUUUUGUAGAAAUAUGAAUACCGUGAUUCCUCUCUCCCUUUAGCAAUCGUGCAUCUCUCUCUCCCUUGUGGAAAAUGUAGUGCACAUAUUUAUGGUCGAGUUCACUGUUGCAUCUCUAUUGCUACUUUAGGGGAAUUUUCCUAGUAUAAUUAGGUUUAUGCACAUUUAAAACUCAUGAUAGCACUAUGUUUUUAUGUAUGCAUGUAUAAUGUGCAGAUGUAUGUAUUUGCAUUAACAAAAGUAUGAUUCAUUUAAAUGGGUUAUAGUUGGUAGUUAUAUUUUCAGACCGUUACCUUAUCAUUGUGAUAAAAAGCUAUUAUUGGGCAUGUCAUUGUCAUGUAUUGUAUACUGGUAAUUUAUCUACAUCUGCCCAAUGAUAAUCAAUGAUGUAGCAAGGACCCAUGCUCUGGUCUUAGAAGGUGUUUAAGAUGUUUCCUUCUAAUAUUGAUCAUGAAGAAGUAGAAGAGCAGUUUUUAACUUGCACCACUUCAUAUUGAGCUGAAGUUGCCCAUUUUAAUUGUUAAGUGUUGUUGAACUGCUGAACAUGAAGUUUAUUACAUAUAUUGCUUUAGUAUAACGUGUGAAGGGGCUGAAGGCAAUUACUUCAUAUCCCUUUUUUUAACUCCUCUCAUAACUUUCUCUAUAAUUUCAUCUUGCAGAUUAUAAACAAAGACUUUGGAUAUGUUGUUGAAGGCGAUGUGUUUUUUACUGUUGAUAAAUUCUCAAAUUAUGGCAAGUUAUCUGGGCAGAAGCUGGAAAACAAUAGAGCAGGUGAACGUGUUGCUGUUGACUCAAGGAAGCGUAAUCCUUCCGACUUUGCAUUAUGGAAGGUGCAAAACCUACUAACUUACUAGUGAAGUUAGGGUUGUAAUCAAGCUGAGUCUAGCCUAUAGGGGCUCAAGAUUCUUUCCUUUUGAAAUCUUGAGGCUUGAUCAUGGGGAAGCUUUAAUUUUGCUUGAGCUUGUUUUGAAAAAAAUAAAGCUACUUGAGCUCCCUUCAAUUAGGUUCAGUUAUUAUUAACUUUAUUUAAGGAGUAGGUAUUUAUAGUGUGUUCAUGCUUGCGACUUUUGAUCUAAAUUCUAAAAUUUGCCCCUCCCAGAGUUGCUGUACUGUGCUUAAUCUGGUCAAGCUAUAAAAAAAAUUACUCAAAUUACCAUUGCUUUCUAAUGUCUAGCUGUUGAUUGAAAAAACUACCACGUAAACCCUAUGGGUGGGACUCUAAAUAGGCAACUAUAUUUAAAGUACAAGCUAAGUUACCUGAAAUUUUUAUUUUCUCUAAAGUACUUGUGUUCGACAUCUAUGUCCGACACAUUUAGAUACGGAGGUCUUAUCCUCAAAUUAUAUGGAAACUUAAAAAAACAGUGAGCUGUCUGCAUAAGACGCAUCUCAUUAUCCAACAUUCAUCUGAACUCUAGGUUACAUAGAGUUCAAGGAUGACAAACCCUAAUUACAAGAAAACCAAAAUUUAAGACUUGCAAUUUAGAUACCCCUCCCCCUUCAAUGAUAAUGACACAUUUCAUUGAAACUAUUGUUGCACAAAUUCUAAUGUCAAAAUUUCUUCAUUCAUUCUAUUUGCAUCAGUUACCUGCCAUUUAUAAUGUUGGCAUCAUCUCCAAAUUCUGAUGUUGAAUAAUUGUUUCAGGCUGCAAAGCCAGGUGAGCCAUCUUGGGACAGCCCUUGGGGACCUGGACGACCUGGGUGGCACAUAGAAUGUAGUGCAAUGAGUGCACAUUAUUUAAGCUUCAAAUUUGACAUUCAUGGUGGUGGGCUUGAUUUGAUUUUUCCUCACCAUGAAAAUGAAAUUGCUCAAAGUUGUGCUGCAUGCAAAGAGAGUGACGUAAGUUAUUGGAUGCACAAUGGGCAUGUUACUAAUAACAAUGAGAAGAUGUCAAAAUCUUUGGGUAACUUUUUCACAAUUCGCCAGGUGAAGUUGGGGCUUAUUAUUUAUGUUAUUUUCCUCCCCUCUGGUUUUAGUUGCAGAAGUAUUCUCAUAGAGCUUCCUUUUUUAUGUUAAAUUAUUUGUUUUCUUCUAGAUUACUGAGAGAUAUCAUCCACUGGCUUUGCGAUACUUCUUGAUAAAUGCACACUAUCGUUCUCCUCUCAAUUACUCUGUUGUUCAGUUGGAAGGUGCAUCAGACGCUGUUUUUUACAUAUAUCAGGUUUAAAGCUUAUUUCACUGCUAUUUUACCUUGCAAUAGGCAUAUGCUGGUCAGAAUUCAGAUGUCGUAGUACGGACAGUGAUCUGGCCUUUUAGGCUUAAAACUUGGUUAUAUGAAUUGUCUAGGGCUUGUAUACUUGUGAGGUGUCAUGGAUGCAGGAGCGUGCCUCAUUCCAUUUCUUGGAGUUCCGCUAUAUUUUAAUAUUCGCCUCCUUUUACCACUUAAUAUUCUUCUAUAAUUGAUUAGAUUUGCGCUACCAGUAGAGUUGCUUCUAGGUUAAAAAUUACUCAAAAAGUGUGACCAGAUUAUUUGCUGAGUCGACCUGAGAUCCCAAGUUUUUUUCUAAAUCACAGACUCCGGGCAAAUGUACCUGGAGUUAGUUUAGAUUCAAGUCCUUCGGAAAAGUAUCCUUACCUGCUUUGUUGUACAGACUUUGAAAGAUUGUCAAGAUGCUCUAUUGCAACUACAAGAAGAAAUGCCCAACGAUGGCAAACCAGCUCGGAUUAGUCCGGACGCCAAGGAAUGCAUUAGCAAGCUCCGCAAUGAGUUCCAGGUGAAAAUGUCAGAUGACUUGAGCACUUCACUUAUACUGACUGGAGCCUUUCUAGAAGCAUUGAAGUUGGUAAACAAUUUGUUGACCAUGCUAAAGGUAUUUGCUUAUCUUUCCGAAUGCUAGUAACUCUCUUUUAUAUAUAUAAGUCUAUGCCAAGGAAGAUAAAAAUAUAUUUUCUCUUGUAAUUUGACAGAAGAAGCAGCAAAAGCAACAAAGAUUAUUGGUAAUUCAAUCCCUUAAAGAGAUUCAGAACGAAGUUACAAAAGUUUUGGAUGUUCUGGGAUUGCAGCCACCUUUCUCUUAUAACGAGGUGACGGGAUUUACUUAUUAAAUGAUGGUACGGAUUCAUGCCUUCUGUAAAAGUUAACACUAAAGAUGAUGAAUUUCUACUAAACAGGUUUUGCUGCAAUUAAAGGAGAAAGCAUUAACGAGAGCGGGGUUGGUGGAAGAUGAUGUGAUUCGUCUAAUUAAAGAGCGAGCUGAGGUGAGGAGAAACAAAGACUUCUUGAAAAGUGAUCAGAUGAGAGCUCAUUUGCAAGCACAGGGCAUUGCACUCAUGGAUGUAGGCACGGAAACAAUUUGGAGACCUUGUGUUCCUGUUCAACAAGACUCGGAAAUAGUGCCAUCAGAGGGCCAGAAGGUCCCUCCCAAGCCUGAAAGUGCAUAAGAAUGCAGAUCUUGAUUCAAGUUCACCAAAAAAAACAUAUCGAAUUUGCUUCGUAUGGUGGUU